UAUAUACUAACUUCAAUAUGACGUAUAUAGUCAGUGCUUCUACGUAAAAUAACUACCCCACCAUAGCACCUGACGUCUUUUGCCUAAAAUUAAUGUUGGUUAUUAGUGUUUGUUAAGAUGUUGUUUUGCUUUAUUUUUUAUUUUUCAAUGUACACGUGUUUCUGUAUAUGACGUUCGUGUAUGUCAGUGUAAAAAGCUGAUAUUUACUCUAUACACAUUUUCGUAUUAAUUAAGUAUUAAAAUAAGAUAAAUUCCAUGAACCUACGGGUAACAAUUUUGUUAGUGAGACAAGACAAGAUUCAGCGUUUAUAAUAUUAUUGAUUGAUAAAGGUUCCUCCUUAUUUUCAAAAAUUUCAUAAGUUUUAAUACAAAGAGUGUCGUUCUUUGGACCAUGAAUGUGAACCCUAAUGUAGCACCACGAUUAUUAAGGGCUGUACGUUUGUUCAAAGUAUAAAUUACUAUUAAGUGUUGUACAGAAUAUAGUUUGAUUUUAGCCAUAAAACAUAAGCUAAUUACUUUAGAAAUAAAGCAAAAAAUCAGCAAUGUGUAUAUAUGUAUAGACUCUUUUAUCUUACAUGAAUAGAAAUG
RNAcentral lists this long non-coding RNA (588 nucleotides) under Mytilus galloprovincialis (Mediterranean mussel). The record is from RNAcentral. Lineage: Eukaryota; Metazoa; Mollusca; Bivalvia; Mytilida; Mytilidae.